GACGAACGCUGGCGGCGUGCUUAACACAUGCAAGUCGAGCGAUGAAAUUCCUUCGGGAGUGGAUUAGCGGCGGACGGGUGAGUAACACGUGGGUAACCUGCCUCAUAGAGGGGAAUAGCCUUUCGAAAGGAAGAUUAAUACCGCAUAAGAUUGUAGCUUCGCAUGAAGUAGCAAUUAAAGGAGUAAUCCGCUAUGAGAUGGACCCGCGUCGCAUUAGCUAGUUGGUGAGGUAACGGCUCACCAAGGCGACGAUGCGUAGCCGACCUGGGAGGGUGAUCGGCCACAUUGGGACUGAGACACGGCCCAGACUCCUACGGGAGGCAGCAGUGGGGAAUAUUGCACAAUGGGGGAAACCCUGAUGCAGCAACGCCGCGUGAGUGAUGACGGUCUUCGGAUUGUAAAGCUCUGUCUUCAGGGACGAUAAUGACGGUACCUGAGGAGGAAGCCACGGCUAACUACGUGCCAGCAGCCGCCGUAA
Molecule: ribosomal RNA, 478 nt
Filed under: uncultured bacterium
Lineage: Bacteria
Description: partial 16S ribosomal RNA
Rfam family: Bacterial small subunit ribosomal RNA
Source: RNAcentral